AAACGACUCUCGGCAACGGAUAUCUCGGCUCUCGCAUCGAUGAAGAACGUAGCGAAAUGCGAUACUUGGUGUGAAUUGCAGAAUCCCGUGAACCAUCGAGUCUUUGAACGCAAGUUGCGCCCGAAGCCAUCCGGCUGAGGGCACGUCUGCCUGGGCGUCAAUC
This 163-nucleotide ribosomal RNA is filed under the name Ludwigia inclinata. RNAcentral describes it as "5.8S ribosomal RNA". It matches the Rfam family "5.8S ribosomal RNA". From Rfam's summary of the family: 5.8S ribosomal RNA (5.8S rRNA) is a component of the large subunit of the eukaryotic ribosome. It is transcribed by RNA polymerase I as part of the 45S precursor that also contains 18S and 28S rRNA. The record is from RNAcentral. Lineage: Eukaryota; Viridiplantae; Streptophyta; Magnoliopsida; Myrtales; Onagraceae.